UGGGGAAUUUUGGUCGAUGGGCGAAAGCCUGAACCAGCAACGCCGCGUGCAGGAUGAAGGCCCUCGGGUCGUAAACUGCUGUCAGGAGGGAAGAACGGCCUUUUGGUUAAUACCCAAGAGGUGUGACGGUACCUCCAAAGGAAGCACCGGCUAACUCCGUGCCAGCAGCCGCGGUAAUACGGAGGGUGCAAGCGUUGUUCGGAAUUACUGGGCGUAAAGCGCGUGUAGGCGGCUUGGUAAGUCGGAUGUGAAAGCCCGGGGCUCAACCCUGGAACGGCAUCCGAAACUGCCUCGCUAGAGUCCCGGAGAGGAAGGCAGAAUUCCCAGUGUAGGGGUGAAAUCCGUAGAUAUUGGGAGGAAUACCAGUGGCGAAGGCGGCCUUCUGGACGGUGACUGACGCUCAGACGCGAAAGCGUGGGGAGCAAACAGG
This 430-nucleotide ribosomal RNA is filed under the name uncultured prokaryote. Its description in RNAcentral is "bacterial SSU rRNA". It matches the Rfam family "Bacterial small subunit ribosomal RNA", at positions 355 to 776 of the family's 1533-position model. The record is from RNAcentral.